UUUUAAGGGAGAAAAUUACAUUUAGUGGUUAUAUCCGGUGUUGUUGUGGAAGGUUGAUGCUUUGAUCUGGAAGUCCUUGAGAAUCUACCAAACGGUGAGAAAUAUGGUUUUUCUCUUAAAUUAAGCAGAAUUUUAGCUUUGAUUAUAUAAAAUUAGACAAAUUAAACGAUAUUUUUUUCUUAUUGAACUCCACAUGUUUUUCGUGAGACGUUUUAUAGACCAACUUAGUAAAUAAUAACAUUUACCUAUAUAGACCAGUCUCCUUCGAGUAAUUCUCUCUUUCUAAUUAAUUAACUUUACAGUGCUUCUCACGCUAAAGAUUUUGAGGGUAAUUUACUUGUCUGUCUACCUGUACAUAUAUACAUACGUCGCGUGUUUGCAUUUUGUAUAAGAAACUCCUUGCAUUUGAAUGUCUAACGUGUGUCCUCCACGCUUUAAAUAUUCUAGUUUCGAUCAAAUCACAACAAAAACAUCAUACACACACACAGACAUAUAUAUAUAUAUAUAUAUAUAUAUAUAUAUAUAUAUAUAUGUGUGUGUGUGUGUGUGUGGUACUAUUUAAGGAGAGUGGUCCCGGUGCGCAUACUCGCGCAUCCGCGCUAGCUAGUCGUGACUACUCGAUCGUUUGUGUUUUUGUAUUUUAUUUUACUUCGUUUAAAAAAAUUAUGGUACUACUAGCGAACAGUGGUCCCGGUGUAUGUGUAUAUAUAUAUAUAUAUACGUGUAUAUAUUUUUGUAUGUAUGUAUGUAUGCGUGUGUGUAUGUAUGUGUGUGCAUGCAUGUAUUAUGUGUGUGUGUGUAUUGUAUAUUUGGGUGAAGGAGCAGACGAAAAUGGAACUCACACUUUUGCCUGGAGACAUUUUAACUAGUCUUAUAUCUGUGUGUGUAUGUAUGUAAGCGCUUUACUUAACUGGAAGUAUAUUUUAUACUCUUCUGGUAUACUUUAACCCUUUAGUGUUCGCAUUAUUCUGCCAAAAUUAAUCCUUUUUCAUCCACAUUGUUUCGAACUAAUCAUGCAUUAUCUUGUAGCUAUGAGAUUUUCAUGAGGUAGCUGUUAAUUUUUAAAACGAUAUUGUAGGGCUGGUGUGAGAGACCAGAUCUGGCCAGUUUGAACAUAAAACAGGCAGAAUACUUUUGGCCGGAUAUGGCCAGUUUAAAUGCUAAAAGGUUAAAGUAUAUCCUUUCGUGAUGUGCAAAUAAAUACCAUGAAUUUACCUUGAGAUAUACUCAUUAGAUUAUAUUUUUCUAUUAUUUGAGUUAGAAUACCUGCAUAUCUAUUAAUUCCAAAAACUAAAUUUUAAAUAUAUAUAUAGUACCAGAGGAUCUGUAGUUCUGACCUAAGGUUAGUAACACUCUUAUCAACUGGGCCAUUGACACACGCAUGUAUUUAUUCAGAAAUAAGGCACCUACUGACAAUCAGAGAUUGACCUUUGUUGUUUGUUCCUCCUUGAGCCAUGCCUGGCUCAUAAGGGCCACUUUCCCGGUUUCUUGGCGUAUAGGUUCCCCACCUGGAUGGGAUGCCGGUCUGUCGCAGGCGAGCUGCAAAAUGCAGGAGGAAAGAUUGAGAGAAAGUUGUGGCAAAAGAGUCAGCAGAAGUCUCGCCGUUACCUUCUGCCAGAGUCGCUUGGGGCUUAGGUGUUUCACUCAUAAACACACACAUCGCCCAGUCUGAGAUUUGAACCCACGAUCCCUCGACUGCGAGUCCGCUGCUCUAACCACUAGGCCAUGUGCCUCCACAGAUUGACCUGAUGAAAACACAGUGCAAAUGCCAUCAUCAUCAUCAUCAACGUUUUAGAUAGGUUUUCCAUGCUGGUAUGGGUUGGACAAGUCAUCACAGUCCUUGUCCUUCCUGUUCUGAGUUACUACCCAUUCAGUGGGGGUGGAGGGGCAAAUGACAACACCUCACUCGUUAUCAGUUUGAACAAAAAGACAGGUAGAAUAUUUUGGCUGGAUAUGACCGGUUUGAAUGCUGAAGGGUUAAUUGUCCAAGAAAUGUUAAUCUGAUUUCUAGAAUUGUUUACCAUUUUGAAGAAUUAUAUAAUUCUUACCAACAAUUUUUUUGCAGAAUAAAAGAUGACUUCAGCACCACUUCUCUACAAUCCACUGACGAAAAUGUCCGAGCAUUGGUUCAAUCACCAGUUUACACAGUGUGGUGACCUUGAGCUGGAUUUCUACAGGUGUGUCUCACGAGUUGGUUACGGCCGCUUCCAUUUGAACAAAGAAUGCAGCAUGGAGUAUGAAGACUUCAAAGAAUGUGCAGGCAAAAUAAAACAGGUACAUUGAACUCUCUCUCUCUCUACUGUAUCAUCAUUAUCAUCAUCGUUUAACGUCCAUUUUCCAUGCUAGCAUGGGUUGGAUGGUUCAACUGGGGUUUGGAAAGCCAUGAGGCUGCACCAGUCUGAUCUGGCAGUGUUUCUACAGCUGGAUGCCCUUCCUAACGCCAACCACUCCAAGAGUGUAGUGGGUGCUUUUAUGUACCACCAGCAUGGGGGCCAGUCAGGCGGUACUGGCAACGACCUUGCUCGAAUCUUUUUACACAUGCCAACAGUAGAGUUGCCAGUAAGGUGAUGCUGGUAACGAUCCCGCUCGAAUGGUACCUCCUAUAUGCCACCGGCACGGAAGCUAGUUAACCACUCUGGCAACGAUCACACUCGGGUGGUGCUCUUCGCAGCCUACUAGCACGGGGCAUAAGUGCCAGUAAAGCGAAGCUGGUAACGAUCACACUCGAAUGGUGCCUUUUAUGUGCCACUGGCAUGGAAGCUGUAUCAUCAUUAUCAUUUCGGUACCCUUCAACCCUCCCACCAUUAUCUAUGGUCAUCCUCCCCUAACCCUUACCCAUCAUUCACUAUAUCCAGUCCUCAACCUAUCCAGUCUCUGCAGUUGUCACCUACUCUCCCCUCCUCUACUUUUUUCCAUUCAACACUUGUUCUUCACUCAUACUUACCUCCUCACCCAUUCCCAACCCCUCAUUCUCCCAUAUACUCUACAAACUCACCCCUCCCACUCUGUUCUCUUCUCACUCACUUUUAUUCACCUUGUACCUUGAACGUCAUCCCUACUAUUUAAUCUCUUCCUUGCUUCAUACCGAUCGCCCCACAUCCUCUCUUCUAAAAUACAAGUAGCCAUGUGGUCCCUCUACAAUAAGUAAACCUAUUUUGAUCUGGCCCUUUCUCCCAUACUUUAAACCUUCACCUAGCAUAAAGCUGCCUCUCUCAGGGUUCAUCCCUGUACAAGCAUUGGCAACCUCACUAAUGCUGGUGCCUUGUAAAAGAGCACUCAGUGUACACUGAAAUGGCAGGCACUUGUAAGUGUAUCCAGUCAUAGAAACCAUGCCAGAGUAGGCAUUAACCGUUUUUGGGACACCCCUCCCUUCAUGACCUCUACCCUACUUACUCAUCCCACAACCACACUUUUAUUUACUUUAUGCUUCCUCACAACAUAAGCCAAAAAACAAUGUCUGGAAGAUGCCCCAUGUGGCAGCAGACCAUUGAUGCCAGUCUGAUGAAGUGCUGCCACUCUAAUCACGAAAAUUUUCACUUCAAAUAUUCACAUAGACUAGGGUUGCAAGCAGACUGGGUACAGAAACAAUUGUAACAAAUCAUCAAAGAGGUGUUCAAGAAUGCCUUUGUCUUAUUAUUUGGGUUAUAACUCACUCUUUGCCAAGCCCAUGUUGCAGUGUGACCAUUGUGGAAUAAGGAUUUUCUACAUUUAAAGAAUUCCUGCAUUGGCCUGGAACCCAACAGUGUUGAUAGCCCAGUAUUCAGGACGAAUGCUUCUGGAAAUCCCCUAACCUUACCCUACCAGGACCUAAGAUAUAUAAUAUAUAUACAUAUAUACAUACCUAUGUGCAUGUGUGUGUGUAUGUAUGUAUGUAUAUAUAUAUAUAUAGUUGCGAAAUUGCUGACGUGGCCAAUGACAGUAUCUCCUGAUUGGCACCCAUGCCAGUGGAACGUUAAAAGCACUAUCCGAGCAAGAUUAUUGCCAGGGCCAUUGGCUAGCUCCCAUGCUGGUGGCACAUAAAAAGCACCAUUUGAGCGCGAUCGAUUCCAGCUUCGCCUUACUGACACCCAUGCCAGUGGCACAUGAUAAAACAAGAUUUGAGCGUGGUCAUUGCCAGUGCUGCUUGACUGGCUCCUGUGCAGGUGGCACGUAAAAAACACCAUUUGAGCGUGGUCGUUGCCAAUACCACCUGACUGGCCCUUGUGCCAGUGGCACAUAAAAGCACCCACUACACUCACGGAGUGGUUGGCUUUAGGAAGGGCAUCCAGCUGUAGAGGCUUUGCCAGAUCAGGAGCCUGGUGCAGCCUUCUGGCUCGCCAGUCCUCAGUCAAACCGUCCAACUCAUGCCAGCAUGGAAAGCAGACGGCAAACGCCAAUGAUGAUGAUCAUGUUGUUAUAAUGUUCAGCUGUUGUAUUUCCAAAUUUGGCCAAAUGCAUUUAUUUUUGCUUCCAACAACUGGGUUCUUUUGGUCAAUCUAUUGUUUAUUCAGCUGCUUCAGAUGCCAAGAUAUCAAAAGUGUGGUCAAACGAUUUUGCUAUGGAAUGGUGAAACUAUUUUUUCAUUUUCUGAAAGGAAAGCAACUUUUUGGACUUAUGACACUUGUGCAUAAUAGCAACGACAUACAUCUGUCCAUGUGUAUUUAUAUAUAGUUUAUAUAUAUUCAUUUAAGAAACACACAAAAACCGUUAGAUUCGCUUCAACAUUUAAAUUUAAAGCGACGAAAAUAUUUUGACAAAUUAAAUUUAAAUGUUGAAGUGAAUCUAACGGUUUUUGUGUUUUACUUAAAUGGCUUAUAAACAUCUUCCAUGCUGCAAUUGUUUUCGUUCUAGCACAUGAUCUCAGAUCAGGUUACUUGCUAUGCAAGUAUAUCUCCAUAAUAUAUUCAUUGUAAACUCACAAAUAGCAAUUGUAGGCUGCCUCAGCUUGUAAGUUCAAUACUACAUUCUCAGCCCAAUCUUGGCUCCGGUUGGUACAACUAAAUUCUAAAGAAUCCUGCAACUGAGCUAUGUAUAUAUUCCUUUACUUGUUUCAGUCAUUUAACUGUGGCCAUGCUGGAACACCACCUUGAAGGCUUUUAGUCAAAUAAAUCGAUACCCAGGACUUAUUUCUUAAACCUAGUACUUAUUCUAUCAGUCUGUUUGGCCAAACCACUAAGUUAUAGGGAUGUAAACACCCCAUCACUGGUUGUCAAGCAGUGAUAGUGGGGACACAUACAUAUAUAUAUACAACAGACUUCUUUCAGUUUCUUAUUUCUUUACUACCCACAAGAGAGGACAAACAAGGACAGACAAAAGGAUUGAGUCGAUUAUAUCUACCCCAGUGCGUAACUGGUACUUAAUGUAUUGACCUCGAAAGGAUGAAAGGUAAAGUCAACCACGGCGGAAUUUGAACUCAGAACGUAAUGGCGGACGAAAUAUCACUAACCAUUUCGACCGGCGUGCUAACAUUUCUGCCAGCUUACCGCCUUCUUUCAGUUUCUGUCUACCAGAUCCGCUCACUUUCCCAAGAUGCCAAGCAGUAGGACUGAACCUAGAACUAUGUGGUUGGGAGGCAAGCUUCUUACCACACGGCUACGCCUGCAAAAUUAUCACAAAACUGUUACUCAGAGUUUCACAUUCCCAUUUAUUGGUCAGUUGUGAUGAAAAAUCUGUGCUCACUUUUGUGUGUAUGUGUAUAUAUGUGUGUGUGAAGUCGCGUGGCCUAGUGGUUAGGGCAUUCGGCUCACGAUCAUAAGGUCAUGAGUUCAAUUCCCAGCGACGCAUUGUAUCCUUGAGCAAGACACUUUAUUUCAUGUUGCUCCAGUCCACUCAGCUGACAAAAUUGAGUUGUACCUGUAUUUCAAAGGGCCAGCUUUGUCACACUCUGUGUCACGCUGAAUCUCCCCUGGAACUACAUUAAGGGUACACAUGUCCAUGGAGUACUCAGCCACUUGCAUGUUAAUUUCACGAGUAGGCUGUUCCAUCGAUCGUCGUCGUUAUAACCAACAGAGUAAUCCUCCUAUAUAUAUAUAUGUGUGUGUGUUUAAUCUCUAUAUAUAAAGCUGAAGUUUUCUGUGUGUGGCAGAUUUGGUAGCCUUCAACUAACACUAUCUCCUCUGAGACCCUGCGGCACAAGUUGACCAAAAUUGAGAGUAUAAUAGAAGAAGGGUUGCUCUUCCUUCCGUAGAAGAAAAAAUUCAAAUCGGACCAUGUUAACACCAAAAAUUAUUUACAUUAAAACGAUGUUUUUUUUUCUAUGAAAAUCCCUAUAUUUUUACGAUUUUUUGACUGCUGUGUCGCCAUUUUUCGGUGUAUUUCAACCAGAAAAAUGUUCACUUAAAGAGAAUAACAAGCUACAUAAUGCAAAAUUUUUACUUUUCAAAAAUUCCAAUUCUAAAGGGUCGAAACAAACCCGAGCAAUGCCGGGCGAUUCUGCUACUUAUUCUAUAAAACUUUUUACGAUGAUUUAAUAAUUUGUUUUUCUCUUUUCUUUCUUUCUUUCUUUCUUUCAGAAUCAACGUUAUAUAGCAAUGCAGGCUGAACGGGCCAAGCAAGGUCGUCAAUAUAUGGAACGACCACCAGACCACUCUGCAAAGGUUAUUCGAUAAUACCUAAGACCAGAAAUAAAAUAAAAUAUUUAAAUAUUAACCAAAAAAAAACAAAAAAAAACAGCGGAAGUUAGUUCCAAUUAUUUUAGGUUAUUUUAUUGUUGGUUUUUACAAUUAAUAAAUAAGAUUUGAAGAUUUAAAAUU
RNAcentral lists this long non-coding RNA (6731 nucleotides) under Octopus vulgaris (common octopus). The record is from RNAcentral. Lineage: Eukaryota; Metazoa; Mollusca; Cephalopoda; Octopoda; Octopodidae.